This 467-nucleotide ribosomal RNA is filed under the name uncultured bacterium. Its description in RNAcentral is "partial 16S ribosomal RNA". It matches the Rfam family "Bacterial small subunit ribosomal RNA", at positions 28 to 506 of the family's 1533-position model. The record is from RNAcentral.
GACGAACGCUGGCGGCGUGCUUAACACAUGCAAGUCGAACGGAAAGGCCCUGCUUUUGUGGGGUGCUCGAGUGGCGAACGGGUGAGUAACACGUGAGUAACCUGCCCUUGACUUUGGGAUAACUUCAGGAAACUGGGGCUAAUACCGGAUAGGAGCUCCUGCUGCAUGGUGGGGGUUGGAAAGUUUCGGCGGUUGGGGAUGGACUCGCGGCUUAUCAGCUUGUUGGUGGGGUAGUGGCUUACCAAGGCUUUGACGGGUAGCCGGCCUGAGAGGGUGACCGGCCACAUUGGGACUGAGAUACGGCCCAGACGCCUACGGGAGGCAGCAGUGGGGAAUAUUGCACAAUGGGCGGAAGCCGGAUGCAGCAACGCCGCGUGCGGGAUGACGGCCUUCGGGUGGGAAACCGCUUUCGCCUGUGACGAAGCGUGAGUGACGGUAAUGGGGAAAGAAGCACCGGCUAACUACGU